Molecule: long non-coding RNA, 5787 nt
Filed under: Ananas comosus (pineapple)
Lineage: Eukaryota; Viridiplantae; Streptophyta; Magnoliopsida; Poales; Bromeliaceae
Description: long non-coding RNA (ACOM_LNC008907)
Source: RNAcentral
CAACUUGUACAAUAUGAGUAUAGCCGAGCGUCUCGCCUCCCACGCGUCUCGCUCCCGCGACUCAACCCGCACGCCUCUAGCGUCGAGGUCCGGGCUUCGCGACAUCGCAUGCCACGAAGGGCACUCAUAACCAUAAGUUCCACCAUCGUGUCUCCCGCGCCUGACAACACCCAUGGCCAUACCGCCUACGCGGCCUGCUCGCUCGGUCCAACGGCUUACCUCCGAAAAGCCACCCAAGUGUGCGCCACAAGCUUGCUUGCCCCAACAUCAGCACCUCAGCGUGACACCACGCACGUCCGUGCUUCGCACCUCCGUGCUUCGCAUUCGACCCGUGCGGCCCUCGUGUCCCAUCGCUCCUGAAUAGGGAACCAACAAGUCCACACCGUGCUUCUCGACCGUCUCAUCGACCCUCGCUUUGCCACGGCGCUCCGCGCCCUUGACUCCCAUAGGUUCGCCUCAUAAGGCCCCAUACAAACGAACCGGCCUCGCUCCGCAUCGCUAGCCACUGGCCCCUCCUUGGCUCGACCACGCCUGGCCGCUUACCCCAUUGGUCCAGUCUCUCAAGGUUCACUAUACGGAUACCGAUACCGCUUGCCUCCUUGGGUUCCGCCCCUCGAGUCUCGUAGGCCACCCGCCUUACGAAUUCUCCCUCGGCAUGCCUCCCUUUAGCGUCCCUAUCGAGUCUCGCCUCCUUGGCCUUCGUGGGCGCCGCGCCCCACGAAUCCCCGCUCGGCACCCUUGCCUUCGCGAGCCUUGUCCUUUACGGAGGACCAUCCGUCGCUAGACUAUCCCUCAUCCGCUCGUACGCUCCACUACAGAGAUCCAAGCCGGCAUAAGGUAGCGCAAGCGAUCCUAGGGAGGAAGCCUCCCGGUAUUCCCCGCUUCCGUAAUGUCGUCGACCUCUCGCGUCUCCGACAUUACCCUAGGCCCGUGUCCCUUCAACCGUCCAUUAACCGGCUACACGGAACGCUAGGCUUGGCUACUCCGCUAGCCAAGGGACGACCCAUAUCCUAUGGGUCGACGGGGGAGUCGGGGCCACUUACGAAGUGUCCACCCCUCCUCUAAUACCCUUACGAGGCAUCCACUCCUUUGGCACCCCGGGGGUACAAAGGUGCUCACCGAGGGGUACGUUUUCAAGCCCCGCAUGCGGCACCUAUUUCCAAGUCAUGGCAUGGGCCAUUGCUAGGGAAUUGCCUCCGUUGACUUGACAGCGACUCCUACCUGACGGAACGCCUCAACUCCGCAACUCCAUAACUUCGUCAACCCAAAUGCCUACCAAGUAUGGCCCACAAAGGUGUCACGGUCGAGACCCAACGAUCGACCCGUGACAGUACGGCACGAGCGGCAUUUUGAACCUUGAUAAUAAUAUUAUAAUACUAAUCCAAGUGUCGAAACGCAAAAAAUCGCGCCUGCGGUGUUUCGAUCGGCUCGUCAAAUGGCACCAAAUCCCUUUCCUCUUCUUCUUCUUCUCUUUUUCCCCUUUCUCUUCUUUCCUUUUCUCUCUAUACGUACAGGUUGAAGGUGGAGGGAAGCUUCAAGAGGCUUCCCUGGCAACUUAGUGGAAUUCCACUACGGUAACAAUAUGCCAAUAAGUCCAUAAGCCAUCAAUAUUCUCAAUUUGCUCUAAUUUCAAUUUGAUACUUUUAAUUGCAGCCCUUCUGAAUGUCCGUUUGCGGUACAACUCUUGUGGGUACUCAUGCCAUACUCGUGCCCUCUCCGCAAACAACUUUUGUCACCCCAAUGCCUCCACAAUCGCACAACGUCGAGCUCUCCCCAUGGUCUCCCCAAGCUUUCAAGCCUUUCGUCGGGACUAGCCGGCCUCGACUACUUCCUGCUCUACUGACUUCCCCACGGACUCUUGUCAUGCCUCCUGACUGCUUUGCAUUUCGACUACUUGUUGAUGCACGGCACCUUUAGCCUUUAUCCCACAAGCCUGCUCAAGCCCUACUUCGUUAGGCUCUCGCAGAACUCCACUUCGAUUCGCAAUCAAAGUGUUCGGCCAAGUUCGAGCCAAUCGGACACCUUGUCUCUUUUCGCUCGCAACUUGCCAUAUCCCAACUCUAGGGACACCACCCUCAUGAUUGAACGCUGAACGGAACUCAGUUCACUCUCUGCUUAGUCUGAACCGCAAGUCUGGUUGCCACGGCAAUGCCGCUACCCUGCGCGCACCGCCCUUACAGAACUUCGAUACCUCGACCCUUCCCGCAGCUGCGAACUGUCCAAACUCCAGCCAGCACCAUGAUCCUGGGUGAAUCCACACACCACUCAACCCGACUAAGGAUGUCUCAUCCGUCCAACUCGUGGGCACAUUGUAAAGAGCAACCGAUCUCCACACCGGCCUUCUCGCACCAAGAGAAGUACUAAGCUCUCUCGCAAUCCUAGGUCCCCUUCACAACCUAGUCCAACGCCUAGCUGUUACUACCAUGGAUUCGUCGGCCUAGACUUCCAACUUGAGCUCCACGAAGCAAACUCUUUUACCACAUGUGUUGUAUCCCACUUCCUGUCAUAGACGAGCUCCUUCACCGAGUCUUUGCGCAUGGGAGCACUUAAUGAACAAACGUGCUCCCCCACUCUGAGUCGCUCCACCACCAAGCGCACUCAGAUCUCCCCGGCAUUCUCAAUGCCCCACAUUCCGCUCUGCUAGCUCCGGCUCUGCCACAACCUUCACUAUUCCCUCAAGCGGAACCCAUGUCAUCCAUCCAAUGGAUACAUGUAUGCUACCUCGAGUCACCAACGCUGUCACCGUUCUGCUCGAAGCUAGCCUUACCACCUCACUCCGCGAGUUAAGGUUUCAACCUCAAUCCAUUCUCUCGCACAAGGAUGCCUUCUCAUUCCAUAUCAUGGGCACACUCCAAAGAGUCAUCGAUCUCCCCAUCGAUCUUCCUUUUACCAAGAGAGAAGUACUGGUUCAUCGAGUAGCCCUUUGGUAAUCCCGCAACUUUGGUCGAAGCUGCUCCCAACGAAGACUACUGCCCGUCAGACUUCAAACUCAGCUUUCACGAAGUAAACUCUUUCGCCCAGUGUUUCACCGCCCAAUCCAUAUCCUUUCGAGAAGCACCAUCGUCGAGGAUUCACAUUUGGGAAUACAUCUCCACCUUAUGUACUCCCCCACCCUGAGUCGUAAGCACCUCUGUACAACUCAGUAUCCUUGGGCAUUCGCAAUACCCAACUCCGCGGCAACCCAACCACGGACCGCAAACUGAUUCUUCCUAAUCAUUGCCCCAUCGUCUGCCACACGACUAAGGCCUUAACCAUUUCUCCAUCCUGAGAAUGACUUGGAAAUCCUCACAGGGUACCGACAUGAACUUGGCUUUCGUCCCACCACGAGUCCACACCAACAAGCACCUCCCUCGCAAGACCCGCAAUCGGCUGGGCCUCCGAGCUCCUCGCUGUUAUCUGACUCUCAUCCAUGCGUGGUGCAAGUCCGAACCGCCCGGCUUCACUCACCGCAAAGAAUUCGUGGGUAGUACCAAUAUCCAUCGCAACUUAACUCCGCAUCUCUCACAAGCGAAGUAUUGUCCCAAUGCAUUGUCGGCUCCAAGUCCUUUCGUCAGAGUGACUCUGCUCACUCCAACUUCGCCGCCAAGGUCGCACCUUUCGGCCAAACUUCCAUCCCAAAUGAGCUCAACCUGGCUCUGAUACCACUUGUCACGGGGUUAGCUUUUCCGCCUCAAAAAUCCCCGCGCGGCGCUCAAGUGUCGCACACCCGAGCCAGCCUUCUCGAGUCCCUUACACGGACAAGUCUCCCCGACUUAACAGCGGAAUACCAAUCCAAGCAUUUUGCCAAGCUUGCUCCUCCUCGAGACUUAUAGCCCGACCCUCGCCUGUAAUCGAACCCCUCGUCGGACUCCUCGAGUUCCCAACGAGCAACCCCAAUAUCGAGGUUGGCCACCAAGCUAGGUGCAUCCUGUUUUGUCAACCAAACCCUCCUCGAGAGUGCUCUGUAGCCGAAUGCCUUGUUGCCUUCCUCGCCAGCCCAAGGACAUUACAAGUUCUCCCCCAACUUGUACAAUAUGAGUAUAGCCGAGCGUCUCGCCUCCCACGCGUCUCGCUCCCGCGACUCAACCCGCACGCCUCUAGCGUCGAGGUCCGGGCUUCGCGACAUCGCAUGCCACGAAGGGCACUCAUAACCAUAAGUUCCACCAUCGUGUCUCCCGCGCCUGACAACGCCCAUGGCCAUACCGCCUACGCGGCCUGCUCGCUCGGUCCAACGGCUUACCUCCGAAAAGCCACCCAAGUGUGCGCCACAAGCUUGCUUGCCCCAACAUCAGCACCUCAGCGUGACACCACGCACGUCCGUGCUUCGCACCUCCGUGCUUCGCAUUCGACCCGUGCGGCCCUCGUGUCCCAUCGCUCCUGAAUAGGGAACCAACAAGUCCACACCGUGCUUCUCGACCGUCUCAUCGACCCUCGCUUUGCCACGGCGCUCCGCGCCCUUGACUCCCAUAGGUUCGCCUCAUAAGGCCCCAUACAAACGAACCGGCCUCGCUCCGCAUCGCUAGCCACUGGCCCCUCCUUGGCUCGACCACGCCUGGCCGCUUACCCCAUUGGUCCAGUCUCUCAAGGUUCACUAUACGGAUACCGAUACCGCUUGCCUCCUUGGGUUCCGCCCCUCGAGUCUCGUAGGCCACCCGCCUUACGAAUUCUCCCUCGGCGUGCCUCCCUUUAGCGUCCCUAUCGAGUCUCGCCUCCUUGGCCUUCGUGGGCGCCGCGCCCCACGAAUCCCCGCUCGGCACACUUGCCUUCGCGAGCCUUGUCCUUUACGGAGGACCGUCCGUCGCUAGACUAUCCCUCAUCCGCUCGUACGCUCCACUACAGAGAUCCAAGCCGGCAUAAGGUAGCGCAAGCGAUCCUAGGGAGGAAGCCUCCCGGUAUUCCCCGCUUCCGUAAUGUCGUCGACCUCUCGCGUCUCCGACAUUACCCUAGGCCCGUGUCCCUUCAACCGUCCAUUAACCGGCUACACGGAACGCUAGGCUUGGCUACUCCGCUAGCCAAGGGACGACCCAUAUCCUAUGGGUCGACGGGGGAGUCGGGGCCACUUACGAAGUGUCCACCCCUCCUCUAAUACCCUUACGAGGCAUCCACUCCUUUGGCACCCCGGGGGUACAAAGGUGCUCACCGAGGGGUACGUUUUCAAGCCCCGCAUGCGGCACCUAUUUCCAAGUCAUGGCAUGGGCCAUUGCUAGGGAAUUGCCUCCGUUGACUUGACAGCGACUCCUACCUGACGGAACGCUUCAACUCCGCAACUCCAUAACUUCGUCAACCCAAAUGCCUACCAAGUAUGGCCCACAAAGGUGUCACGGUCGAGACCCAACGAUCGACCCGUGACAGUACGGCACGAGCGGCAUUUUGAACCUUGAUAAUAAUAUUAUAAUACUAAUCCAAGUGUCGAAACGCAAAAAAUCGCGCCUGCGGUGUUUCGAUCGGCUCGUCAAAUGGCACCAAAUCCCUUUCCUCUUCUUCUUCUUCUCUUUUUCCCCUUUCUCUUCUUUCCUUUUCUCUCUAUACGUACAGGUUGAAGGUGGAGGGAAGCUUCAAGAGGCUUCCCUGGCAACUUAGUGGAAUUCCACUACGGUAACAAUAUGCCAAUAAGUCCAUAAGCCAUCAAUAUUCUCAAUUUGCUCUAAUUUCAAUUUGAUACUUUUAAUUGCAGCCCUUCUGAAUGUCCGUUUGUACUCAGAUUUGACAAUCAGGCUCAAUUAAAGUCAAUCAAAAGUACGUUGUCUUAACUUUUUAGUUUUGAAUCAUUUUAGGUCACCGAAAGCUCUACCAACUAAAAUCUUUAAC